This 404-nucleotide ribosomal RNA is filed under the name uncultured Hyphomicrobium sp. RNAcentral describes it as "bacterial SSU rRNA". It matches the Rfam family "Bacterial small subunit ribosomal RNA", at positions 355 to 776 of the family's 1533-position model. Lineage: Bacteria; Pseudomonadati; Pseudomonadota; Alphaproteobacteria; Hyphomicrobiales; Hyphomicrobiaceae. The record is from RNAcentral.
UGGGGAAUCUUGGACAAUGGGCGCAAGCCUGAUCCAGCCAUGCCGCGUGAGUGACGAAGGUCUUCGGAUUGUAAAGCUCUUUUGCCAGGGACGAUAAUGACGGUACCUGGAGAAUAAGCCCCGGCUAACUUCGUGCCAGCAGCCGCGGUAAUACGAAGGGGGCUAGCGUUGUUCGGAAUUACUGGGCGUAAAGCGCACGUAGGCGGGUUUGUAAGUCAGGGGUGAAAUCCCGGGGCUCAACCUCGGAACUGCCUUUGAUACUGCAAAUCUCGAGUCCGGAAGAGGUGAGUGGAAUUCCUAGUGUAGAGGUGAAAUUCGUAGAUAUUAGGAAGAACACCAGUGGCGAAGGCGGCUCACUGGUCCGGUACUGACGCUGAGGUGCGAAAGCGUGGGGAGCAAACAGG